Molecule: long non-coding RNA, 733 nt
Filed under: Salvia miltiorrhiza (redroot sage)
Lineage: Eukaryota; Viridiplantae; Streptophyta; Magnoliopsida; Lamiales; Lamiaceae
Description: long non-coding RNA (SMIL_LNC013590)
Source: RNAcentral
AAAAAAUCGGCCCAUACCCGGCCCAGUUGAAGAAGGCCCUCUCCUCUCUUCCUCUUUAUUUCUCACGCCUCUCUAUCUCUAUCACUCUACCGACAUUCACUCUUCUCUCUCUCACAAUAUCGGUUCUCUCCCUCAAAAUCAAGAAACGGACACUGUUCAUCGUCUCUCUCUCUCGCUCGAUCCAGCCGCCUCUUCUCCCUCCAAGAUCUGCCGCCGCCGCCUGCUCUAACCUCGGCGAGAAUCGCCGGCUCCGACGCCUCCCUCACUCAUCGCCUCCUCCUUCUCACCUCAACCUCUAUCUCUCUCGCUCUCUCGGCCGCUGGACCCAGGCGCAGCAGACACCACCACCGCGGUGUGCCGCCAUCGCCGGGCCGCCGCCUGCUCCCUCAUCCUCGCGGCAGAUCCGCCGCCGCCGUUCAACGCCACGGCCGCCUGGAGCUGCUGCUGUUCGCCUGGGGUCGACGGAUCUGGCCUUCGGUCGUUCGUCUUGCUCGGAGUUCCCGCCGCCGUUGGCUUGCCCGGAGUCGCCGCUGGCUGGCCCGCGAUCGACGGCCAGCAGCUCGCUGGAGGAGCGCCGCCGUCAGCCGCUGCCGUUGGCAGCAAGAAUCCGGCAGCCGCCUCUCCUGGAGUCGCCGUCGCCGUGAGUCGCAGAGCUCCGACAAUCCACCAUCCUUUCUCUCUCGUUUUAUCACUCACGAUAGGUUCGUAAAUUUGAAUAAUUUACAGAAAAUUC